Molecule: unclassified non-coding RNA, 363 nt
Filed under: uncultured bacterium
Lineage: Bacteria
Description: contains 16S-23S intergenic spacer region
Source: RNAcentral
UCCUCGUUACCGAGGCAGUCUACCUAGAAAAAUACAACUAAGUAUAAGGGUUGCGCUCGUUGAUGGACUUAACCAAACAUCUCACGACACGAGCUGACGACGGCCAUGCAUCACCUGUCACCAAGUUCAAUAAAGCACUCACUGCUUUCGCAGUAAUUCUUGGGAUGUCAAACCCUGGUAAGGUUCUUCGUUUAUCAUCGAAUUAAAGAACACGCUCCACCGCUUGUGCGGGUCCCCGUCAAUUCCUUUAUGUUUUAGUCUUGCGACCGUACUCCACAGGUGGGAUACUUAACGCGUUAGCUUCGCUACGGAAGGGGUCGAUACCCCCCACAGCUAGUAUCCAUCGUUUACGGCGUGGACUAC